Molecule: unclassified non-coding RNA, 234 nt
Filed under: plant metagenome
Description: partial contains small subunit ribosomal RNA, internal transcribed spacer 1, and 5.8S ribosomal RNA
Source: RNAcentral
UUUCCGUAGGUGAACCUGCGGAAGGAUCAUUACUGAGUGAGGGCUCUCUGGGUCCAACCUCCCACCCGUGUUUAUUGUACCUUGUUGCUUCGGUGAGUCCGCCGCACGGCCGCCGGGGGGCAUCUGCCCCCGGGCCCGCGCUCGUCGAUGACACCCUAGAACUCUGUCUGAUGUUUGCAGUCUGAGCGAAAACUAAAUAAGAUAAAACUUUCAACAACGGAUCUCUUGGUUCCG